Molecule: non-coding RNA, 786 nt
Filed under: Discolomatidae sp. 1 ACP-2013
Lineage: Eukaryota; Metazoa; Arthropoda; Insecta; Coleoptera; Discolomatidae
Source: RNAcentral
AAAAAUUUGAUUUUGGUUUAAAAAUUAGGUAUUUUUUUAAUUUUACAUGAAAAUUUUAGUAAGAUUUAUAAUAAUUUUAAAUAAAUUCUUAAAAUUUUAAUUUGAUCUCAGUAUAAAAUAUUAUAAAUUAAAUAAUUUUAGAUUUAGUAAUAAUAAUAAUAUAAACAAAAAGUGUGCCAGCAGUUGCGGUUAUACAUUUUAUAUAACUUAAUUUUAUUUAGAAAAAAUAUAUUAUUUAUAGAAAUUUAUAAAAUUAUUAGAUAGGUGAAAUUAUUAAUAAUUAAUUAAAUUUAUAUAAAAAAAUAUAAUUUAGAAAUUUUUUUUUUAAACUAGGAUUAGAUACCCUAUUAUUUAAAAUGUAAUUUUUAUUCUAAAAGAGUAUUAGUUAAGAUCUUAAAAAUUAAAAAAUUUGGCGGUGUUUUAAUCUUUUCAGAGGAACCUGUUUUGUAAUUGAUAGUCCACGAUAAAUUAAACUUAUAUUAUUAAUUUUCAUAUCGUUGUAGGUUGAAUAUUUUAAAAGAAAUAAAAUGUUCAAAAUUUUUAUUAUUAAAAGGAAAUCAGAUCAAGAUGUAGUUUAUAUAUAAGAAAUAAUGGGUUACAAUAUUAUUAAAUAUACGAAUAAAAAAUUGAAAAUUAUUUUUUUAAAGGUGGAUUUGAAAGUAAUUUUAUUUAUUUAUUUAAAAUGACUUAAGCUCUAAAAUGUGUACAUAUUGCCCGUCGCUUCUAUUUAAAAGUAGAAUAAGUCGUAACAUAGUUGAUUUACUGGAAAGUGAAUCUAGAAUAACA